CGGCAUGCCUUACACAUGCAAGUCGAACGGUAACAGGUCUUCGGAUGCUGACGAGUGGCGAACGGGUGAGUAAUACAUCGGAACGUGCCCGAUCGUGGGGGAUAACGGAGCGAAAGCUUUGCUAAUACCGCAUACGAUCUACGGGAGAAAGCAGGGGACCUUCGGGCCUUGCGCUAUCAGAUGAGCCUAGGUCGGAUUAGCUAGUUGGUGGGGUAAAGGCUCACCAAGGCGACGAUCCGUAACUGGUCUGAGAGGAUGAUCAGUCACACUGGAACUGAGACACGGUCCAGACUCCUACGGGAGGCAGCAGUGGGGAAUAUUGCACAAUGGGGGAAACCCUGAUGCAGCAACGCCGCGUGGAGGCUGACGCAUUUCGGAGUGUAAACUCCUUUUAUAAGGGAAGAUAAAGACG
RNAcentral lists this ribosomal RNA (412 nucleotides) under uncultured bacterium. Its description in RNAcentral is "bacterial SSU rRNA". It matches the Rfam family "Bacterial small subunit ribosomal RNA", at positions 40 to 456 of the family's 1533-position model. The record is from RNAcentral.